GAGGGAAGGCCAACAACUGUAUUUCCACAUCAGCUGGGGCUCUCGGUCGCCCAAGGGGAGGACAAAAGUCAGCUGCAGAGGAAGGCUGACGCCAGCCCCCAGUCCCAGCCCCACCUCCAGGCCAAUGCAUGCCCCAAGAUGGGCUCAGUCCCAGGACCACCGAGCAGGCUCCAGAAGGUGAGUUUUAUCUCCUCACUCCUUCCAGCUCAUCCUCAGGCCUCCACUGGCCUCAUCCACAAUGGGCCCAGAACACUGGACAGGUAGCGGUGGCAGAGCCCAGCUGGGCCCAAGCUGGGCAGAGGGGCCCAAGCUCGGCAUAGGGGCCCUCGGGCAGGGCAGGUUUCCAAGGGAGGGUCCGGGAGGACGGCCUGGUGUGGGAUGGCAGCUCAGCCCAGCGGGCGCUGGUAGGGCUGGGGAAGGGACUCCUUGGAGAUGAAGGGAGCCCCAGGAUACACAAGCUCGGCUGCCAAGCUAGGGCGGGGUCUUCCAAGUGUAUGGAACAGAUCUGUGCUCCAGAUCAGCUCUACCCCCACCAAACAGACGGACGGACAGACAGGUAGGUGGCGUUUCUGAACCCAGGAAGGGGAAAA
This is a long non-coding RNA of Mandrillus leucophaeus (drill), 590 nucleotides long. RefSeq lists it as uncharacterized. The transcript is spliced from 2 exons. The record is from RefSeq and is a predicted model, not a curated record. Lineage: Eukaryota; Metazoa; Chordata; Mammalia; Primates; Cercopithecidae.